UACGAAGGGGGCUAGCGUUGCUCGGAAUUACUGGGCGUAAAGGGCUCGUAGGCGGCCAACUAAGUCAGACGUGAAAUCCCUCGGCUUAACCGGGGAACUGCGUCUGAUACUGGAUGGCUUGAGGUUGGGAGAGGGAUGCGGAAUUCCAGGUGUAGCGGUGAAAUGCGUAGAUAUCUGGAGGAACACCGGUGGCGAAGGCGGCAUCCUGGACCAAUUCUGACGCUGAGGAGCGAAAGCCAGGGGAGCAAACGGG
This 253-nucleotide ribosomal RNA is filed under the name uncultured bacterium. RNAcentral describes it as "partial 16S ribosomal RNA". It matches the Rfam family "Bacterial small subunit ribosomal RNA", at positions 524 to 776 of the family's 1533-position model. The record is from RNAcentral.